Canis lupus familiaris (dog) is the source of this 307-nucleotide long non-coding RNA. RefSeq lists it as uncharacterized. Lineage: Eukaryota; Metazoa; Chordata; Mammalia; Carnivora; Canidae. The record is from RefSeq and is a predicted model, not a curated record. The transcript has 3 exons.
CCCCCCACACACACACCUUGCUAGAAGCGAAAAUCCUUCUCUGUAGUUCUAGCUGUUCUCUCUUUAAAUCUCAGGUCAAAUUCGUAUGUGUUCAGGAUGGUUUGAAAGUAAUCUAGAGGGAGUUGUAGCCAUUGGGCAACCUGAUUGGUGGAACUGUAAGGGGCAGAGUGAGCCAUAGCCCCAUGGCAUUUGAAAUUCCAAGGUGUCGCCCUGAGGAUAUGAAAUGCUUCACACAGACCACUGCAUUUCAGAGGCCAAAGGACAUCUGAAAGAAUUAAAAGUAUGUCACUCUUCCUUUUUUGCAGAG